CACUGUGCCUAGUUUCAUCCUCAGAGACUGAUGUGUAAGCUUAAAGUAAAGACAUCAAAUCAAAGUAUCAGCCAUCAAGAGGAAAAACAUUCAAAAUCAUAUUGUGAUACACAAGUCAAGCA
This is a long non-coding RNA of Physella acuta, 122 nucleotides long. RefSeq lists it as uncharacterized. The record is from RefSeq and is a predicted model, not a curated record. Lineage: Eukaryota; Metazoa; Mollusca; Gastropoda; Physidae.